RNAcentral lists this ribosomal RNA (513 nucleotides) under uncultured bacterium. RNAcentral describes it as "partial 16S ribosomal RNA". It matches the Rfam family "Bacterial small subunit ribosomal RNA", at positions 29 to 523 of the family's 1533-position model. The record is from RNAcentral.
AGCGAACGUUAGCGGCGGGCCUAACACAUGCAAGUCGAGCGAGAAAGUGGCUUCGGCCACGAGUAAAGCGGCGGACGGGUGAGUAACACGUAGGUAAUCUUCCCUUGAGCGGGGGACAACGAGCCGAAAGGCUCGCUAAUACCGCAUACGUUUCCAGAGGCACCGGUCUCUGGACGGAAAGCUAGGCCGCAAGGUCCGGCCAUCGCGGAGGAGCCUGCGUCGCAUCAGCUAGUUGGUGGGGUAACGGCCUACCAAGGCGAAGACGCGUAGCUGGUCUGAGAGGAUGAUCAGCCACACUGGGACUGAGACACGGCCCAGACUCCUACGGGAGGCAGCAGUGGGGAAUAUUGGACAAUGGGCGCAAGCCUGAUCCAGCCACGCCGCGUGAGUGAUGAAGGCCUUCGGGUCGUAAAGCUCUGUGGGGAGGGACGAACCGCUGCACGUUCAUAGCGUGCAGCAUGACGGUACCUCCUUAGCAAGCACCGGCUAACUUCGUGCCAGCCGCCGCCGUAA